Molecule: ribosomal RNA, 253 nt
Filed under: uncultured bacterium
Lineage: Bacteria
Description: partial 16S ribosomal RNA
Rfam family: Bacterial small subunit ribosomal RNA
Source: RNAcentral
UACGUAGGCAGCAAGCGUUGUUCGGAGUUACUGGGCGUAAAGGGUGCGUAGGCGGCCUUAUAAGUAUGGUGUGAAAUCUCCCGGCUUAACUGGGAGGGUGCGCUAUAGACUGUGGGGCUAGAGUGUGGGAGAGGAAAGUGGAAUUCCUGGUGUAGCGGUGAAAUGCGUAGAUAUCUGGAGGAACACCAGUGGCGAAAGCGCGUGACUGGGCCACAACUGACGCUGAGGAACGAAAGCCAGGGGAGCGAAAGGG